AGUUUUUUAAGUUUAUAAAAGAUAUAACCUGCCCAUUGAAUAUAAAAUUUUAAAGGCCGCAGUAUAUUGACUGUGCAAAGGUAGCAUAAUCAAUAGAUUUUUAAUUGGAAUCUGGAAUGAAUGGUUAAAUGAAAUAAAAUCUUUUUUAAUUUUAAUAUUUGAAUUUUAUAAAUUAGUAAAAAAUCUUAUAAAUAAAAAAAAGACGAGAAGACCCUAUAAAAUUUUAUAAAUUAAAUUAAUUUAUUAUUUAUAUUUAAUUUAUUAUUAUAUUAAUUUAUUUUAUUGGGGAGAUAUUUAAAUUUUUAAAACUUUAUAAUAUUAAAAUUCAUUUUUAGAUGUAUUUUUGAUCUUUUUAUAUUGAUUAAAAAAAUAAAUUACUUUAGGGAUAACAGCAUAAUAAUUUUAUUAAGUUCUUAUUAAUAAAAAAGAUUAUGACCUCGAUGUUGAAUUAAAAUAAUUAUUAUAUGAAGGGAUAUAAUAAAUAAGUCUGUUCGACUUUUAAAAUUUUACAUGAUUUGAGUUCAAAUCGGUGUAAG
This 536-nucleotide ribosomal RNA is filed under the name Asiodiplosis paradoxa. RNAcentral's name for it is "partial large subunit ribosomal RNA". Lineage: Eukaryota; Metazoa; Arthropoda; Insecta; Diptera; Cecidomyiidae. The record is from RNAcentral.